UACGUAUGGUGCAAGCGUUAUCCGGAUUUACUGGGUGUAAAGGGAGCGUAGGCGGCGCGUUAAGUCUGAUGUGAAAACCCGAGGCUCAACCACGGGAGUGCAUUGGAAACUGGCGGGCUGGAGUGCCGGAGAGGUAAGCGGAAUUCCUAGUGUAGCGGUGAAAUGCGUAGAUAUUAGGAGGAACACCAGUGGCGAAGGCGGCUUACUGGACGGCAACUGACACUGAGGCUCGAAAGCGUGGGGAGCAAACAGG
RNAcentral lists this ribosomal RNA (253 nucleotides) under uncultured bacterium. RNAcentral's name for it is "partial 16S ribosomal RNA". It matches the Rfam family "Bacterial small subunit ribosomal RNA", at positions 524 to 776 of the family's 1533-position model. The record is from RNAcentral.